GACAGAGGUGCCGAGCGUUAGGCGGAAUCACUGGGCUUAAAGCGUGUGUAGGCGGACCGUUAAGUACCUUGUGAAAUCCCCCCGGCUCAACCGGGGAACGGCUGGGUAUACUGGCGGUCUUGAGCCAUCCAGGGGCAGUCGGAACAGACGGUGGAGCGGUGAAAUGCGUAGAUAUCGUCUGGAACGCCGAAGGUGAAAACAGACUGCUGGGGAUGCGCUGACGCUGAGACACGAAAGCCAGGGGAGCGGAACGGG
RNAcentral lists this ribosomal RNA (255 nucleotides) under uncultured bacterium. RNAcentral describes it as "partial 16S ribosomal RNA". It matches the Rfam family "Bacterial small subunit ribosomal RNA", at positions 524 to 776 of the family's 1533-position model. The record is from RNAcentral.